This 405-nucleotide ribosomal RNA is filed under the name bacterium. Its description in RNAcentral is "partial 16S ribosomal RNA". It matches the Rfam family "Bacterial small subunit ribosomal RNA", at positions 355 to 776 of the family's 1533-position model. The record is from RNAcentral.
CAAGGAAUUUUCCGCAAUGGGCGAAAGCCUGACGGAGCAACGCCGCGUGCAGGAUGACGCAUUUCGGUGUGUAAACUGCUGUUCGGGGGGACGAAGCACUGACGGUACCCCCGGAGGAAGGCCCGGCUAACUACGUGCCAGCAGCCGCGGUAAUACGUAGGGGCCAAGCGUUGUCCGGAGUUACUGGGCGUAAAGCGUGCGCAGGCGGCUCGUUGCGCCCGACGUGAAAGCCCCCGGCUCAACCGGGGAGGGUCGUCGGGACGGGCGAGCUUGAGGGUGUCAGGGGCUGGUGGAACUCCCGGUGUAGUGGUGAAAUGCGUAGAGAUCGGGAAGAACACCCGUGGCGAAGGCGGCCAGCUGGGACACACCUGACGCUGAGGCACGAAGGCGUGGGGAGCGAACGGG